This 1824-nucleotide ribosomal RNA is filed under the name human gut metagenome. RNAcentral describes it as "bacterial LSU rRNA". It matches the Rfam family "Bacterial large subunit ribosomal RNA", at positions 1098 to 2925 of the family's 2925-position model. The record is from RNAcentral.
AUGUUGGCUUAGAAGCAGCCAUGCAUUUAAAGAGUGCGUAACAGCUCACUGGUCGAGUGGACAUGCGCCGACAAUUCACGGGGCUAAGCGAUGCACCGAAGCGGCGGACUGAGAAUUCAGUGGUAGGGGAGCUCUCCGCGGGGGGCGAAGCAGCAGGGCGACCUGCUGUGGACCGCGCGGAGGUGAGAAUGCUGGCAUGAGUAACGAGACCAGGGCGAGAAACCCUGGCGCCGUGAGCCUAAGGGUUCCUGGGCGAGGCUAAUCCCCCCAGGGUCAGUCGGGAGCUAAGGCGAGGCCGAGAGGCGUAGCCGAUGCGCAGCGGGCAGACAUUCCCGCACCGCCGACGGCGCGGCAUUACCGAUGGGGCGACGGAGAAGGGUAGCCGGGCGGGGUUCUGGACGUCCCCGUGAAAGCGCGUAGGGCGCGCAGCGUGGAAACCAGCUGCGCACGAGGCCUGAGACGCGAGACGAAGCGACCGAGCGAAGCCGGUGAGCCCAUGCUUCCGAGAAAAACCUCUAGGGAGUGCCGUCGGCGCCCGUACCAAAACCGACACAGGUGGGCGGGUAGAACAUACCGAGGCGAUCGGGAGAACCACGGUUAAGGAACUCGGCAUACUGGCCCCGUAACUUCGGGAGAAGGGGCGCCGCCGCCGGUGAUAGCCCUCGCGGCAGGAGCUGGCGGCGGCCGCAGCGAAACGGCCCAAGCGACUGUUUAUCAAAAACACAGGACUCUGCAAAGCGGUAACGCGACGUAUAGGGUCUGACGCCUGCCCGGUGCCGGAAGGUUACGCGGAUGCGUCAGCCGAAAGGCGAAGCGCUGAAGCCAAGCCCCGGUAAACGGCGGCCGUAACUAUAACGGUCCUAAGGUAGCGAAAUUCCUUGUCGGGUAAGUUCCGACCUGCACGAAUGGCGUAACGAUUUGGGCGCUGUCUCAACCGUGGACCCGGUGAAAUUGUACUGUUCGUGAAGAUGCGAACUACCCGCGGAAGGACGGAAAGACCCCGUGAACCUUUACUGCAGCUUGGCAUUGGCAUCUGGUACGGCGCGUAGAGGAUAGGCGGGAGCCUUUGAAGCGGGGGCGCAAGCCCCCGUGGAGGCGACCUUGGAAUACCGCCCUCGUCGUGCCGGCUGCCUAACGCGCGGCCGUGAUCCGGCGCGCGGACCGUGCCAGGCGGGUAGUUUGACUGGGGCGGUCGCCUCCCAAAACGUAACGGAGGCGCGCGAAAGGUCCGCUCAGGACGGUCGGCAACCGUCCCGAGAGCGCAAGAGUGCAAGCGGGCUUGACUGCGAGAGAGACACCUCGAGCAGGGACGAAAGUCGGUUCUAGUGAUCCGGCGGCACAGAGUGGAAUGGCCGUCGCUCAACGGAUAAAAGGUACUCCGGGGAUAACAGGCUGAUCUUGCCCAAGAGUCCACAUCGACGGCAAGGUUUGGCACCUCGAUGUCGGCUCAUCGCAUCCUGGGGCUGAAGUCGGUCCCAAGGGUACGGCUGUUCGCCGUUUAAAGCGGUACGCGAGCUGGGUUCAGAACGUCGUGAGACAGUUCGGUCCCUAUCCUCCGCGGGCGCAAGGGAGUUGAGGAGAUCUGCCCCUAGUACGAGAGGACCGGGGUGGACGGACCUCUGGUGACGCGGUUGUCGACCAACGGCACCGCCGCCUAGCUACGUCCGGCACGGAUAACCGCUGAAGGCAUCUAAGUGGGAAGCCGCCUCCGAGAUGAGCUCCCUUUCCGGUAAGGGCCCAGAUAGACUAUCUGGUCGAUAGGGCGCAGCUGCAAGCAGGGCGACCUGCUCAGGCGAGCGCUACUAAUAGCCCGAGCUCUUCUUC